This 461-nucleotide ribosomal RNA is filed under the name uncultured bacterium. RNAcentral's name for it is "partial 16S ribosomal RNA". It matches the Rfam family "Bacterial small subunit ribosomal RNA", at positions 339 to 795 of the family's 1533-position model. The record is from RNAcentral.
CUACGGGAGGCUGCAGUCGAGAAUCUUCGGCAAUGGACGAAAGUCUGACCGAGCGACGCCGCGUGCGGGAUGAAGGCCUUCGGGUUGUAAACCGCUGUCAGUUGGGAGGAAAUCACGUGGGGUUCUCCCCAUGUGUUGACCAAUCUUCAGAGGAAGUACGGGCUAAGUUCGUGCCAGCAGCCGCGGUAACACGAACCGUACAAACGUUAUUUGGAAUCACUGGGCUUAAAGGGUGCGUAGGCGGCCUGGUAAGUCAGGUGUAAAAUCCCUCGGCUCAACCGAGGAAUUGCGCUUGAAACUAUCAGGCUAGAGGGAGACAGAGGUGAGCGGAACUCAGGGUGGAGCGGUGAAAUGCGUUGAUAUCCUGAGGAACACCGGUGGCGGAGGCGGCUCACUGGGUCUCUUCUGACGCUGAGGCACGAAAGCUGGGGGAGCGAACGGGAUUAGAUACCCUCGUAGUC